ACUCAAAUGAAUUGACGGGGGCCCGCACAAGCGGCGGAGCAUGUGGCUUAAUUCGAGGCAACGCGAAGAACCUUACCUGGGUUUGACAUGCAGGGAAAUCUCCCAGAGAUGGGAGGUCCGCAAGGGCCUUGCACAGGUGGUGCAUGGCUGUCGUCAGCUCGUGUCGUGAGAUGUUGGGUUAAGUCCCGCAACGAGCGCAACCCUCGUCCUAUGUUGCCAGCGGUUCGGCCGGGGACUCAUAGGAGACUGCCGGGGUCAACUCGGAGGAAGGUGGGGAUGAAGUCAAGUCAUCAUGCCCCUUAUGUCCAGGGCUGCACACAUGCUACAAUGGCCGGUACAAAGGGCUGCUAAACCGCAAGGUGGAGCGAAUCCCAAAAAGCCGGUCUCAGUUCGGAUCGGGGUCUGCAACUCGACCCCGUGAAGUCGGAGUCGCUAGUAAUCGCAGAUCAGCAACGCUGCGGUGAAUACGUUCCCGGGCCUUGUACACACCGCCCGU
This 496-nucleotide ribosomal RNA is filed under the name uncultured bacterium. RNAcentral's name for it is "partial 16S ribosomal RNA". It matches the Rfam family "Bacterial small subunit ribosomal RNA", at positions 899 to 1397 of the family's 1533-position model. The record is from RNAcentral.